GACGAACGCUGGCGGCGUGCCUAAUACAUGCAAGUAGAACGCUGAAGGAGGAGCUUGCUUCUCUGGAUGAGUUGCGAACGGGUGAGUAACGCGUAGGUAACCUGCCUGGUAGCGGGGGAUAACUAUUGGAAACGAUAGCUAGUACCGCAUAAUAGUAGAUGUUGCAUGACAUUUGCUUAAAAGGUGCAAUUGCAUCACUACCAGAUGGACCUGCGUUGUAUUAGCUAGUUGGUGGGGUAACGGCUCACCAAGGCGACGAUACAUAGCCGACCUGAGAGGGUGAUCGGCCACACUGGGACUGAGACACGGCCCAGACUCCUACGGGAGGCAGCAGUAGGGAAUCUUCGGCAAUGGACGGAAGUCUGACCAAGCAACGCCGCGUGAGUGAAGAAGGUUUUCGGAUCGUAAAGCUCUGUUGUAAGAGAAGAACGAGUGUGAGAGUGGAAAGUUCACACUGUGACGGUAUCUUACCAGAAAGGGACGGCUAACUACGUG
RNAcentral lists this ribosomal RNA (495 nucleotides) under uncultured bacterium. RNAcentral describes it as "partial 16S ribosomal RNA". It matches the Rfam family "Bacterial small subunit ribosomal RNA", at positions 28 to 507 of the family's 1533-position model. The record is from RNAcentral.